Molecule: long non-coding RNA, 1367 nt
Organism: Esox lucius (northern pike)
Lineage: Eukaryota; Metazoa; Chordata; Actinopteri; Esociformes; Esocidae
Source: Ensembl
CUUUGUCUGAGGCCAUUAGAAGGUCAUUUGUUACCUUCAUGUGUGCAGUCUCAGUGCUAUGAUAGGGUCUGAAACCGGACUGGAGCAUUUCAUAGAUUGUUUUCAGGAAGGUUUUCAAUUGGUGGGAAACACAUUUUUCAGAGGAAAUGGUGUUUCGAUAUUGGCCUAUAAUAGGUCCAGAUUAGAUUUUUUCAGAAGAGUCUUAAUUUCUGCUAUUUUUUGUGAGUUUGGUACACACCCGGAAGAUAGGGAGCAAUUUAUUAUGUUCAACAUUGGCUGAUCUAGCAUUGAAAAUAGCUCCUUAAGUAGUUUUGUUGGAAUCGGGUCUAGUUGGCAGUCCUGCAGCAUAUGAGAAGGAAAUUUCAUUGCAAAUGCGGAGAGGGCCAAAAAGAAAAAGCUGGCUUGUAUGAAACGACGGAUUACUUUUACAAACAAAGGGCAACCAUGACAGAGACAAUGGAAGCCAACAGACCAAACGUUAACGACAAUGGACGUCGUAUGUAAUCAGAGGAUUAUUCCAUUUGCCACAAAACAUUCCUACAUGUAUACAAAUUGGGGACAGGUGGAGCUGAGUGGAUCUUUACGGUGACAAGUUGCUACUGGGUUUGAAGCUAACUAGGGGUUAAAAGUUCCUGGUGCAUAAUCUCUCGCUUUCUCUCCACAAGCACCAUUUUGUUUUGUGAUCUGGUUGAUCAUGCUUUUUGGAUUAGGUGCACAUUUUAACACAUUUUACAUUCAUUCAUGCAUCUCCAUUUCCACCUUUACACUUCACAGGUAUGUUAAUAUUUGUAAUCUUAUACUUAGUUCAUUAUUUAAAAAAAAAAAUUGUUACUCCUUAAACACUAAUGUGUGGACUCCCUUGCAUGUUACCAUCUAAGAACUGGGUUGUGACAAUGCUAUUAACAUACGCCAUAAAAAACGUAUUUCACUGCUCUGUUUGUCUUUGCCGUAAAUAAGGUUUCUUACAUAAGCACAUUUAUAAACCUCAGUAAUGCUGCGCAGGAAAACAUAACGCAUUCUUUCAGACUAUUGCCCUAAGCCACAGAUCAAGUCACAGAAAGAGACAUGCGUUUUGUGAGACUCUUGAUGUAGGCAAAUGGUGCUCACACUCUCCUUCCUUCAAUGACCUAUUGUUGAAAGUUUGUUGAAAAUGUGCCAAUAAUCACUGCAUGUAGUAUUUGGCCCUUGCAUAACAAUUGCUUUCUACUGUAUAUCCCAUGUUAUUUUCAAAAGGCUGUGGGAUUAUGUCCAAAAAGGUUUGUGCAAGAUAUGGCCAAAACACUCUCUUAUUACAAUACAAAAUGCUGUAAUGGUAAUUGCAUUAAAAUACAAUACCAAAUACUUUUCCACAUACUGUAUUUCAUCAA